Molecule: ribosomal RNA, 253 nt
Filed under: uncultured bacterium
Lineage: Bacteria
Description: partial 16S ribosomal RNA
Rfam family: Bacterial small subunit ribosomal RNA
Source: RNAcentral
UACGUAGGGUGCGAGCGUUGUCCGGAAUUACUGGGCGUAAAGAGCUCGUAGGUGGUUUGUCGCGUUGUCCGUGAAAACUCACAACUCAAUUGUGGGCGUGCGGGCGAUACGGGCAGACUGGAGUACUGCAGGGGAGACUGGAAUUCCUGGUGUAGCGGUGGAAUGCGCAGAUAUCAGGAGGAACACCGGUGGCGAAGGCGGGUCUCUGGGCCAAAACUGACGCUGAGGAGCGAAAGCGUGGGGAGCGAACAGG